ACCGCAUAAUGCUAAGAAGCUGCAUGGCGUCUUAGCCAAAGGUUAAUUCCGCUCAAGGAUGGGCCCGCGGCCCAUUAGCUAGUUGGUGAGGUAAUGGGCUCACCAAGGCGACGAUGGGGUAGCCGGCCUGAGAGGGUGGGUCGGCCACACUGGGGACUGAGACACGGCCCAGACUCCUACGGGAGGCAGCAGUGGGGAAUAUUGCGCAAUGGGGGAAACCCUGACGCAGCGACGCCGCGUGAGCGAUGAAGGCCUUCGGGUUGUAAAGCUCUGUCUUCCCUGACGAUAAUGACGGUAAGGGAGGAGGAAGCCACGGCUAACUACGUGCCAGCAGCCGCGGUAAUACGUAGGUGGCGAGCGUUGUCCGGAAUUACUGGGCGUAAAGGGUGCGUAGGCGGCUCUUUAAGUGGGAUGUGAAAUCCCUGGGCUCAACCCAGGAACUGCAUUCCAAACUGGAGAGCUAGAGUGCAGGAGAGGAAAGCGGAAUUCCCAGCGUAGCGGUGAAAUGCGUAGAGAUGG
This 519-nucleotide ribosomal RNA is filed under the name uncultured bacterium. RNAcentral's name for it is "bacterial SSU rRNA". It matches the Rfam family "Bacterial small subunit ribosomal RNA", at positions 168 to 699 of the family's 1533-position model. The record is from RNAcentral.